ACACCAAGCCUAGCUAGAACUUGGUUAUCUGGGCAACGGUGCUACAUCACAGUGGGUGAGGUAAGCAAUUGCAACAGCACACAAAGGACACUCGGCUUGCCAGUUUUCUCAAGAAAGGCAUUUUGCAGAUGGAAUAGCAUGCUAUUUCAGUUCUAGCUGCCCUCUGUAGGAAGCAAGGAAGGUGUGAGCAGAUCAUUAUGGGGAAAUGGCUCACUUUAGUUCUUUUCCAAACUUUUGCAGUUGGGAUGACAGUAAGUUUACAUUCCAGAAAGAGCUUUUCCUUUGUUUAGUGAAAAAACACUAUAGAACUGGGGCUAUCCUUGGUAUAAUUCUGUAGGGUGUGAGCUAUCAUUAAGGUGUCAUUAUGCCUUUUACUUUGGAUGGGCAUACGACGCAUAACCCUAUAGUAAAGAACAUAAGAUUAUAUGUGUUCUAGGACACCGUAUUUACCUCUUAAUUACAUAUCAGGAACAUUUACUGAUUAGUAUAACUAAUAAGGAUAAACAUCUAAUUGAAAGGUAAUGUCUGCUAUGUAUGUAACAUAUGGGAAUGAAAACAAUGUCAUAAGGUGGAUGAACAGUUAGGGGAAAACUAGAUUUCACAGGAGACAUGGGGUUCCUGCCAAAACAUGUGACACAACCAUCACACUCUCUCCACCACCGAUCUACUUCAUAGGUUGAAAGGAUGUUACCAUGAAGGCAAUAAUACUACCAAGAAACCAGAUUCAGGACUUGAUGCAGAACUGGAAAAAAAUCAUUUCAACAUUGCAUUUACAGUAAUUACUGAAAGCUUUGCUCAGUUUGUUAAGAUCUGAUUCAUUUCCUGUUUCUUUCAUUAGCGUUCCAUUUGUCCUUGUAUCCACAUCCAUUUUGACGGGUUGUGUCCCCCUCCCAAUUCUUUACUAUAUUUUGCUUCCUUCUGGGGCAGUGGCAGCAGUAGAGCAACAGCUGAAGCCCCUCCUACAAGUAGUGUUAUGUACUGAGUUGAAUAGGAUCCAAAAGACAGCAGUCUUAUUGGUCCUAGAACAAUAGGAUUCAGAAUGCAGCAGUCUGAUUGGUCCUAGAACAAUAGGAUUCAGAAUGCAGCAGUCUGAUUAGUCCUAGAACAAUAGGAUUCAGAAUGCAGCAGUCUGAUUGGUCCUAGAACAAUAGGGUCCAGAAUGCAGCAGUUUGAUUGGUCCACAGGAGCCACCCAAUCCAGCUCCAGGUGGAAGUGAAUCCGCAACCUGAUUGGCCUACAGGUGAAUCCCGGAAUUAGCCAAUCACGUGGGGCCCAUUGUGUAAAUAAUGUAUAUAAAGCAGACAUUCUGGGGGAACUUCCAUUCCUCCUCACCACUAUGAGCUGAAUAAAGAGCAUGAAAUCCACUCUCGACUCCAAGUAUAUUUCAGGUAGCCAUUGUCUUUCCCCCCAGAGUGUCUCCUAAUUCUGGGGUAUUGGAGAAACAUGGCUGCUAUAAAACAGCAGCCUCCCCUGACAACUGUCAUUUCCCCCUGAAAUGGACUGGAAGGGACUCCCUGCUAAUACCAAUCCCCCCCCCCAUUUCUUUCAGGACAAAUGGGUUCUGUUCCGUUAAAUGUUCCAUUUUUGUGUCUGAAAAGAAUGCACAGCCCUCGUUUUCAGAGGUAGCCACAUAUUUCUGCCCCUAGCAUGUCAGAGAGAAGAGACAAUGAACAUAAAACAUCAGAUCUUAUGGAUGGAUGCCUCUGCAGCAUCACAUAACUAUUUUCUUUUUUAAAAAGUUUUUUUAUUAACAAAUUCAGCACAACAAAUCAACAAUACAAAUCGUCUUCAUUGGUUUUUUCCCCUCCCAUUUUUUCCCCUCCCACCUCCCCAGCAAACCCUCCCAAAGAUUUCCCUCAGCUCCUCUCUCUGAUUUCUCAUCUCAUAUUGUUCUCUGCAUAUUAUAAAAUUGUAUACAUCCUUAUAUUAUCUACCCAACAUAUUAACCCAAUAAAUUUGUGUAUGUUUAUUCAAUACCUGCCAAGGAGUCCAGUUCAUUUUGUUGUCUUUUUAAAUAGACUGUAAAAGGAGGCUAAAUUAAUUGUAAAUAAUGUGGUGACGGAAGAAUUUAAGAUAGAAAAAGGGACACGACAGGGGUGCCCAAUCUCCCCACUGCUUUUUAUAUCGGUCCUGGAGGUUCUGCUGAAUAUGAUUAGAAGGGACCGGUUGGUUAAAGGCAUACAAGACUUUAAUUGGUGUCACUCCAGCCACACACUUAACAGGCUGCUCAGUUUUUCAGCACUCUGCUGCACUUUUGAAUGGAAAUCUAUAGGCUAAAAAAGAAAAGAAAAAAAGAUUUACUCUGUCAUUGAGAUACAUACACAGACCAUGUAUGGCCAGUUCUACCAAUGGGUGGACCAGCCAGCUGCUUGAUAGCUCAGUUGGUAGAGCAUGGGACCCUCUCUCAUGAUCUAUGAUUCUGGAUGACCCAGAAUCAUAGAAUUGUAGAGUUGGAAGGGACCCUGAGGCUCUUGUCCAACUUGCUGCAAUGCAGGAAUAAGCAGCUGUCCUGUACGGGGAUCAAACUUGCAAACUUUGCAUUCUCAGCACCACGCUCUAACCAACUGAGCUAUCUAGCCUUAGCUGAAUGUUGCUGAACUUGGUGAUGGGUUUUCUUACCCUGCCAUACUUAGGGUGCCAAACACUCUUGAAAACACAGUGUUGGAUUUCUGCUUAUGCCACUGUGCAGUGCUUGGAGUCACAAGACUCUGUUUACAUUCCAGACUGUUGGAAGUGUCACGGGA
Molecule: long non-coding RNA, 2744 nt
Filed under: Podarcis lilfordi (Lilford's wall lizard)
Lineage: Eukaryota; Metazoa; Chordata; Lepidosauria; Squamata; Lacertidae
Source: RNAcentral